This 89-nucleotide ribosomal RNA is filed under the name Solen gracilis. RNAcentral describes it as "partial 5.8S ribosomal RNA". It matches the Rfam family "5.8S ribosomal RNA", at positions 67 to 154 of the family's 154-position model. Rfam says of the family: 5.8S ribosomal RNA (5.8S rRNA) is a component of the large subunit of the eukaryotic ribosome. It is transcribed by RNA polymerase I as part of the 45S precursor that also contains 18S and 28S rRNA. Functionally, it is thought that 5.8S rRNA may be involved in ribosome translocation. The record is from RNAcentral. Lineage: Eukaryota; Metazoa; Mollusca; Bivalvia; Adapedonta; Solenidae.
GUGAUUGCAGGACACAUUGAACAUCGACAUCUUGAACGCACAUUGCGGCUCCGGGUCACUCCCGGAGCCACGCCUGUCUGAGGGUCGGC